CAAAGGAAUUGACGGGGACCCGCACAAGCGGUGGAGCAUGUGGUUUAAUUCGAAGCAACGCGAAGAACCUUACCAAGUCUUGACAUCCUUUGACCACUCUAGAGAUAGAGCUUUCCCUUCGGGGACAAAGUGACAGGUGGUGCAUGGUUGUCGUCAGCUCGUGUCGUGAGAUGUUGGGUUAAGUCCCGCAACGAGCGCAACCCUUAUUACUAGUUGCCAGCAUUGAGUUGGGCACUCUAGUGGGACUGCCGGUGACAAACCGGAGGAAGGUGGGGAUGACGUCAAAUCAUCAUGCCCCUUAUGACUUGGGCUACACACGUGCUACAAUGGAUGGUACAACGAGCAGCGAACUCGCGAGGGUAAGCGAAUCUCUUAAAGCCAUUCUCAGUUCGGAUUGUAGGCUGCAACUCGCCUACAUGAAGCCGGAAUCGCUAGUAAUCGCGGAUCAGCACGCCGCGGUGAAUACGUUCCCGGGUCUUGUACACACCGCCCGUCACACCACGAGAGUUUGUAACACCCAAAGUCGGUGAGGUAAUCUUUUGGAGCCAGCCGCCUAAGGUGGGAUAGAUGAUUGGGGUGAAGUCGUAACAAGGUAGCCGUAAAGGGCGAA
RNAcentral lists this ribosomal RNA (610 nucleotides) under uncultured low G+C Gram-positive bacterium. RNAcentral describes it as "bacterial SSU rRNA". It matches the Rfam family "Bacterial small subunit ribosomal RNA", at positions 902 to 1510 of the family's 1533-position model. Lineage: Bacteria; Bacillati; Bacillota. The record is from RNAcentral.